CUCCAAGUGGGCCAUUUUUGG
This 21-nucleotide non-coding RNA is filed under the name Arabidopsis thaliana (thale cress). The record is from RNAcentral. Lineage: Eukaryota; Viridiplantae; Streptophyta; Magnoliopsida; Brassicales; Brassicaceae.